This 253-nucleotide ribosomal RNA is filed under the name uncultured bacterium. Its description in RNAcentral is "partial 16S ribosomal RNA". It matches the Rfam family "Bacterial small subunit ribosomal RNA", at positions 524 to 776 of the family's 1533-position model. The record is from RNAcentral.
UACAGAGGGUGCAAGCGUUAUUCGGAAUCACUGGGCGUAAAGAGCUCGUAGGCUGUUUACUAAGUCUAAUGUGAAAUCCCCGGGCUCAAUCCGGGAAGUGCAUUAGAUACUGGUAGACUUGAGUGCAGGAGAGGAAAGCGGAAUUCCAGGUGUAGAGGUGAAAUUCGUAGAUAUCUGGAGGAACAACAGAAGCGAAGGCGGCUUUCUGGACUGUCACUGACGCUGGGGAGCGAAAGCGUGGGGAGCAAACAGG